GACGAACGCUGGCGGCGUGCUUAACACAUGCAAGUCGAGCGGUAAGGCCCUUUCGGGGGUACACGAGCGGCGAACGGGUGAGUAACACGUGGGUGACCUGCCCUCAGCUCUGGGAUAAGCCUGGGAAACCGGGUCUAAUACUGGAUAUGACUCCAUGACGCAUGUUGUGGGGUGGAAAGCCUUGUGCGGCUGAGGAUGGGCCCGCGGCCUAUCAGCUUGUUGGUGGGGUGANGGCCUACCAAGGCGACGACGGGUAGCCGGCCUGAGAGGCGACCGGCCACACUGGGACUGAGACACGGCCCA
This 303-nucleotide ribosomal RNA is filed under the name uncultured bacterium. RNAcentral's name for it is "bacterial SSU rRNA". It matches the Rfam family "Bacterial small subunit ribosomal RNA", at positions 28 to 333 of the family's 1533-position model. The record is from RNAcentral.